RNAcentral lists this long non-coding RNA (650 nucleotides) under Homo sapiens (human). RNAcentral describes it as "non-protein coding lnc-SLC39A11-10:43". Lineage: Eukaryota; Metazoa; Chordata; Mammalia; Primates; Hominidae. The record is from RNAcentral.
GCUCAUUCAAUGUCUGGAGCAAGCUUUCUGCACUCCACUGCCGGUGCUUUCUGGCUUCAAAAGCAGCUUCGAGACUGAGGAAUAGUAGACAGGAUUAGAAUAAGGCCCGGGAGUUCUACAACUCUGCUGAAUUCAAAAGGACCAUGAUCUUGGUCAGCUAAACCACACCCGAUGGCCAAGGGGCAGAGGAAAAGAUGGCAGAGUAGAGACUCUUGGACUUACUCAUUUGGAUUUUGGAGUUUUACCUGACUUGGUCAAGCCUCAUGCCAGAUCCAGAUUGUGCCUGCUUCCCUUUCACCUUCCAUCAUGAUUGUAAGUUUCCUGAGGCCUCCCCAGCCAGGAUUCCUGUACAGCCUGUGGAACCAUGAGCCAGGUAAAAAUGGUGCUACCCUUGGAAAUCCAAGAGCAGCUUCAAGAGUCAACUAUACCAGCAAUCCCUAAAGCUGGAGAAUUUAUGCCCAUGGAAAAGUCUGUAGCGUUUUGCAAACUGUGAGGCUGAGGAAUAGACCUAGUUCCUGCAGCAGAUCAAAAUGAAAGAUGCAGAAAUGCAGCAACUAUUGCAGGGAUUCCGUGAGACCAAGGACCUGUCUCCAUAGCAGGGCUGAGGAGGAAGAGGAAGAGGAGGGGUUGGUCUUGCUGUCUCAAGAGUA